Long non-coding RNA from Triticum aestivum (bread wheat), 1065 nucleotides. RefSeq lists it as uncharacterized. The transcript has 3 exons. The record is from RefSeq and is a predicted model, not a curated record. Lineage: Eukaryota; Viridiplantae; Streptophyta; Magnoliopsida; Poales; Poaceae.
AACAAAUGGGUUGCUUCGUCCACAAGAUAUUUCUGGAUCUACCAUUUUUCUGGAUCUACCAAUUCUCCUCCUCGCCUCUCUCUCGCUCUCUCUCUCAUUUGUUGAUCGACAGAUAUCCAUUCUCCCCUCGCAAAAGAAGAAGAGAUGAUUGAUUCCCUUUCUCGAUUCAUUUGUCAAGGGAUAAUUCAACCUCUCCCCCGUUUCAUUUCUUGACAGAUAGUCCAGCCUCUUGCAUUUUUCUUUCUUUUUCGAGGCAUCUUGCAUUUCAUUUGUAGAGACACAAUUCAUCCUCUCCUCCCGCUCCAUUUGAAGCAAGAUAAGAUAAUUCAUCACCUCUCCCGCCCAUUCCAAUUGCCGAGAGAGAAUCCAUCCAUUGCCGCAUCGCAAUAUGCAUCAACAUCAGGGCAUCUCUCAUCGCGACGGGGAAGCAGGAACUCCUGGGCCGAUGAUGCCUCCGUCCAAGGACGAGGAGGAGGAGGAGCCUCCUCGUAAGCCUCCGGUGUCCACAACGUGCUUCAUAUUAGGAUUUUUCGCCGCGCUAUGCUGCUGCUGCUUGGUUGACGAGCCGCUCAUGUGACACGGGUUGUCUUGCGUGCUGUGCCGUGCUUUUUGUACAUAAUGCAGGAAACAAGCUAUCUAUCUCUGGCCCGUGAAUGCUUUGCUUUCCUACUGAAAUUCGGAGAAUUCUCCUUGCACACAAGUGAUUGUUGGAACUAUGUAGAUCAGGACUAUUAAACAAAUUCAAUAAUUUCUAGGUGGACUUUAGCCCGUAUUUUUUGCUACUCGCAAGGGAGUUAGACCAGCAUAUUUUUCGAGAAAUUUCCUUCCACCGCUAAGAGUUUCAAAAGAAGAUACAUGCACACGCAUUGAUCCUUCGCGGUCCACCUCACCUCGCGCACCUUGUUUUGUGAACAGGAUAAGAUGGACUCAAACACAAGCCAAGUGUGUGCGUUGUCUUCUUUUUUACGUGUGUCAGAAAUCGAAACAUUUUGUGUUGUAGUGGAAGAUAAAUCCGACCAGUUUUGUGGCCUGCUCCUUUCAUCUUCUAUAAUGGUUCAACUUUGA